ACGCUGGCGGCACGCCUAACACAUGCAAGUCGAACGCAGUAGCAAUACUGAGUGGCGAACGGGUGAGUAUAAUGUGGGUAUCUGCCUUUUGGUUUGGAAUAACAUGGGGAAACUUAUGCUAAUACCGAAUAAGCCCUUACGGGGAAAGUUUUAACGCCAAAAGAUGAACCCACACUUGAUUAGCUAGUUGGUAGGGUAAUGGCCUACCAAGGCAACGAUCAAUAGCUGAUCUGAGAGGAUGAUCAGCCACAUUGGGACUGAGACACGGCCCAGACUCCUACGGGAGGCAGCAGUGGGGAAUCUUGCACAAUGGGGGAAACCCUGAUGCAGCGAUGCCGCGUGAGUGAAGAAGGCCUUUGGGUUGUAAAGCUCUUUCGUCGGGGAAGAAAAUGACUGUACCCGAAUAAGAAGGUCCGGCUAACUUCGUGCCAGCAGCCGCGGUAAUACGAAGGGACCUAGCGUAGUUCGGAAUUACUGGGCUUAAAGAGCUCGUAGGUGGUUAGAAAAGUUGGUGGUGAAAUCCCAAAGCUUAACUUUGGAACUGCUAUCAAAACUUUUUGACUAGAGUAUGAUAGAGGAAAGUGGAAUUUCUAGUGUAGAGGUGAAAUUCGUAGAUAUUAGAAAGAACACCAAUUGCGAAGGCAACUUUCUGGAUCAUUACUGACACUGAGGAGCGAAAGCAUGGGUAGCGAAGAGGAUUAGAUACCCUCGUAGUCCAUGCUGUAAACGAUGUGUGCUAGACGUUGGAAAUUUAGUUUUCAGUGUCGCAGCAAAAGCGUUAAGCACACCGCCUGGGGAGUACG
Molecule: ribosomal RNA, 803 nt
Filed under: uncultured Pelagibacteraceae bacterium
Lineage: Bacteria; Pseudomonadati; Pseudomonadota; Alphaproteobacteria; Candidatus Pelagibacterales; Candidatus Pelagibacteraceae
Description: bacterial SSU rRNA
Rfam family: Bacterial small subunit ribosomal RNA
Source: RNAcentral